GUAGUCGUAACCACGUAGCCGUUAGUACUUGCCCGUCGAGCGAAUGGAUUAAGAGCUUGCUCUUAUGAAGUUAGCGGCGGACGGGUGAGUAACACGUGGGUAACCUGCCCAUAAGACUGGGAUAACUCCGGGAAACCGGGGCUAAUACCGGAUAACAUUUUGAACCGCAUGGUUCGAAAUUGAAAGGCGGCUUCGGCUGUCACUUAUGGAUGGACCCGCGUCGCAUUAGCUAGUUGGUGAGGUAACGGCUCACCAAGGCAACGAUGCGUAGCCGACCUGAGAGGGUGAUCGGCCACACUGGGACUGAGACACGGCCCAGACUCCUACGGGAGGCAGCAGUAGGGAAUCUUCCGCAAUGGACGAAAGUCUGACGGAGCACCGCCGCGUGAGUGAUGAAGGCUUUCGGGUCGUAAAACUCUGUUGUUAGGGAAGAACAAGUGCUAGUUGAAUAAGCUGGCACCUUGACGGUACCUAACCAGAAAGCCACGGCUAACUACGUGCCAGCAGCCGCGGUAAUACGUAGGUGGCAAGCGUUAUCCGGAAUUAUUGGGCGUAAAGCGCGCGCAGGUGUUUCUUAAGUCUGAUGUGAAAGCCCACGGCUCACCGUGGAGGGUCAUUGGAAACUGGGAGACUUGAGUGCAAAAAGGAAAGUGAAUUCAUGUGUAGCGGUGAAUGCGUAGAGAUAUGGAGGAACCCAGGGGAAAGGCGACUUUCUGGUCUUGUAAUUGAACUGAGCCCGAAAGCGUGGGGAGCAAAAGGAUA
This 762-nucleotide ribosomal RNA is filed under the name Bacillus cereus. RNAcentral's name for it is "bacterial SSU rRNA". It matches the Rfam family "Bacterial small subunit ribosomal RNA", at positions 29 to 779 of the family's 1533-position model. The record is from RNAcentral. Lineage: Bacteria; Bacillati; Bacillota; Bacilli; Caryophanales; Bacillaceae.